This 168-nucleotide ribosomal RNA is filed under the name Praealticus margaritarius. Its description in RNAcentral is "partial 12S rRNA". Lineage: Eukaryota; Metazoa; Chordata; Actinopteri; Blenniiformes; Blenniidae. The record is from RNAcentral.
CACCGCGGUUAUACGAGAGGCCCAAGCUGACAGACCCUCGGCGUAAAGCGUGGUUAAAAUAAUUUUAAACUAAAGCCGAAUGUUCUCUUAUCUGUUAUACGUUCACGAGAAUAAGAAGAUCUUCUACGAAAGUGGCUUUACUCAAUUGAACCCACGAAAGCUAAGACA